UGGGGAAUAUUGGACAAUGGGCGCAAGCCUGAUCCAGCCAUGCCGCGUGAACGAUGAAGGCCUUAGGGUUGUAAAGUUCUUUUGUCAGGGAAGAUAAUGACGGUACCUGAAGAAUAAGCACCGGCUAACUUCGUGCCAGCAGCCGCGGUAAUACGAAGGGUGCUAGCGUUGUUCGGAAUCACUGGGCGUAAAGCGCGCGUAGGCGGCUUAACAAGUCAGAGGUGAAAGCCUGGAGCUCAACUCCAGAACUGCCUUUGAAACUGUUAAGCUUGAGUGUCGGAGGGGCAAUCGGAAUUCUUGGUGUAGCGGUGAAAUGCGUAGAUAUCUACUGGAAUGCCGAUGGGGAAGCCGUCCGGCUGGGCCUGUCCUGACGCUGAGGCACGAAAGCGUGGGGAGCAAACAGGAUUAGAUACCCUCGUAGUCCCUGAGCGGGCUGGCAAGGCGCAU
Molecule: ribosomal RNA, 447 nt
Filed under: uncultured bacterium
Lineage: Bacteria
Description: bacterial SSU rRNA
Rfam family: Bacterial small subunit ribosomal RNA
Source: RNAcentral